This 151-nucleotide ribosomal RNA is filed under the name Rhizophagus intraradices. RNAcentral describes it as "5.8S ribosomal RNA". The stretch from base 50 to 151 matches the Rfam family "5.8S ribosomal RNA", at positions 1 to 102 of the family's 154-position model. From Rfam's summary of the family: 5.8S ribosomal RNA (5.8S rRNA) is a component of the large subunit of the eukaryotic ribosome. The record is from RNAcentral. Lineage: Eukaryota; Fungi; Glomeromycota; Glomeromycetes; Glomerales; Glomeraceae.
ACUCUUAUAAAUUGAAUCAUUUUAUAUUAUGUUUGUAAUAAAUAAAGAUCAGUUUCAACAACGGAUUUCUUGCUUCUCGCAUCGAUGAASAACGUAACGAAGGGCGAUAAGUGAGGUGAAUUGAAUAAUUCCGUGAAUCAUCGAAUCUUUG